This 757-nucleotide ribosomal RNA is filed under the name Vibrio sp. ACH-37. RNAcentral's name for it is "bacterial SSU rRNA". It matches the Rfam family "Bacterial small subunit ribosomal RNA", at positions 45 to 781 of the family's 1533-position model. The record is from RNAcentral. Lineage: Bacteria; Pseudomonadati; Pseudomonadota; Gammaproteobacteria; Vibrionales; Vibrionaceae.
GGCCUAACACAUGCAAGUCGAGCGGAAACGACACUAACAAUCCUUCGGGUGCGUUAAUGGGCGUCGAGCGGCGGACGGGUGAGUAAUGCCUAGGAAAUUGCCUUGAUGUGGGGGAUAACCAUUGGAAACGAUGGCUAAUACCGCAUAAUGCCUACGGGCCAAAGAGGGGGACCUUCGGGCCUCUCGCGUCAAGAUAUGCCUAGGUGGGAUUAGCUAGUUGGUGAGGUAAUGGCUCACCAAGGCGACGAUCCCUAGCUGGUCUGAGAGGAUGAUCAGCCACACUGGAACUGAGACACGGUCCAGACUCCUACGGGAGGCAGCAGUGGGGAAUAUUGCACAAUGGGCGAAAGCCUGAUGCAGCCAUGCCGCGUGUAUGAAGAAGGCCUUCGGGUUGUAAAGUACUUUCAGUUGUGAGGAAGGGGGUAGCGUUAAUAGCGCUAUCUCUUGACGUUAGCAACAGAAGAAGCACCGGCUAACUCCGUGCCAGCAGCCGCGGUAAUACGGAGGGUGCGAGCGUUAAUCGGAAUUACUGGGCGUAAAGCGCAUGCAGGUGGUUCAUUAAGUCAGAUGUGAAAGCCCGGGGCUCAACCUCGGAACUGCAUUUGAAACUGGUGAACUAGAGUACUGUAGAGGGGGGUAGAAUUUCAGGUGUAGCGGUGAAAUGCGUAGAGAUCUGAAGGAAUACCAGUGGCGAAGGCGGCCCCCUGGACAGAUACUGACACUCAGAUGCGAAAGCGUGGGGAGCAAACAGGAUUAG